CCCUGGUUAGCUCAGUUGGUAGAGCGCUCCACUGGAAAUGGAGAGGUCCCUGGUUCGAUACCCGGACCAGGCG
This is a non-coding RNA of Ixodes scapularis (black-legged tick), 73 nucleotides long. Lineage: Eukaryota; Metazoa; Arthropoda; Arachnida; Ixodida; Ixodidae. The record is from Rfam.